GAUGAACGCUGGCGGCGCGCCUAACACAUGCAAGUCGAACGAUUAAAGCACCUUCGGGUGUGUAUAAAGUGGCGAACGGCUGAGUAACACGUGGGCAACCUGCCCCUUUCAUUUGGAUAGCCACGGUAAACCGUGGAUAAUACCGAAUACUUCGAGACUUCCGCAUGGAAGACUCGAGAAAGCUCCGGCGGUGGGGGAUGGGCCCGCGGCCUUUUAGCUUGUUGGUGGGGUAACGGCCUACCAAGGCAAUGAUGGGUAGCUGGGUUGAGAGACCGACCAGCAAGAUUGGGACUGAGAGACGGACCAGAAUGCAACGGGAGGCAGCAGUGGGGAAUAUUGCACAAUGGGAGAAAGCCUGAUGCAGAGACGCAGCGUGCGGGAUGAAGGCCUUCGGGUUGUAAACCGAUUUCAGAAGGGAAGAGGAGAAAGUGACGGUAACUGAAGAAGAAGCACCGGCUAACUACGUG
Molecule: ribosomal RNA, 467 nt
Filed under: uncultured bacterium
Lineage: Bacteria
Description: partial 16S ribosomal RNA
Rfam family: Bacterial small subunit ribosomal RNA
Source: RNAcentral